Molecule: non-coding RNA, 235 nt
Organism: Paramuricea clavata
Lineage: Eukaryota; Metazoa; Cnidaria; Anthozoa; Malacalcyonacea; Plexauridae
Source: the annotation of a GenBank genome assembly
GCCUUAUUCUUUUAUCCUUUUUUUGCCCGGCUUUUUAAAAAUGAAAAAAAAAGCUAAAAAUGGACGAAAAGUUAAGGCUAUAGCCUUAUUUUCUGCCAUUUGUACCCACUUUUUUCAUUUUUGAAAGAACUAUAUAGCCUUACUUUUUGCUCUUUUUUGCCCCUUUUUUAAAAAUGAAAAAAGUGGCUAAAAAUGGACGAAAAGUUAAGCCUACACGUAUAGCCUUACUUUUUUG